UUUCCGUAGGUGAACCUGCGGAGGGAUCAUUACCAGAGAUGGCGGGCCUCCGUGCCCCCGUCCCCAACCCAUUGUUGACCAAAAAUCUUUGCCUCGGGGGCAGAGCGUCCGCCGCCGCCCCCGGAGGACCACCGAACGCUGUCUCUAUACGUCGGAGUAUUGAUUAAAUGAAUGAAAACUUUCAACAACGGAUCUCUUGGUUCUG
Molecule: unclassified non-coding RNA, 205 nt
Filed under: plant metagenome
Description: partial contains small subunit ribosomal RNA, internal transcribed spacer 1, and 5.8S ribosomal RNA
Source: RNAcentral